CGAGUUGAUGUCCGAGAGGGCAUAGCGCACUGCUCAGUAACACGUGGACAACCUGCCCUGAGGACUGGAAUAAUCCCGGGAAACUGGGGGUAAUUCCAGAUAAGCCAGGAUUUCUGGAAUGGGUUCUGGCAGAAAGGCUCCGGCGCCUCAGGAUGGGUCUGCGGCCUAUCAGGGUAGUAGUGGGUGUAACGUACCUACUAGCCUACGACGGGUACGGGUUGUGAGAGCAAGAGCCCGGAGAUGGAUUCUGAGACAUGAAUCCAGGCCCUACGGGGUGCAGCAGGCGCGAAAACUUUACAAUGCGGGCAACCGCGAUAAGGGGACCUCGAGUGCUGGGUUACAAACCUGGCUGUUGGGCUGCCUAAAAAGCAGUCUAUAGCAAGGGCCGGGCAAGACCGGUGCCAGCCGCCGCGGUAACACCGGCGGCUCGAGUGGUAACCGCUAUUAUUGGGUCUAAAGGGUCUGUAGCCUGCCGGCUAAGUCUCUUGGGAAAUCUGGCAUCUCAAGUGUCAGGCUGCCAGGGGAUACUGGUCGGCUUGGGACCGGGAGAGGUGAGAGGUACCUCAGGGGUAGGGGUGAAAUCUUGUAAUCCUUGAGGGACCACCAGUGGCGAAGGCGUCUCACCAGAACGGAUCCGACGGCAAGGGACGAAAGCUAGGGGCACGAACCGGAUUAGAUAC
RNAcentral lists this ribosomal RNA (680 nucleotides) under uncultured archaeon. RNAcentral describes it as "bacterial SSU rRNA". It matches the Rfam family "Archaeal small subunit ribosomal RNA", at positions 54 to 736 of the family's 1478-position model. The record is from RNAcentral.